Molecule: ribosomal RNA, 964 nt
Filed under: Aretaon asperrimus (thorny stick insect)
Lineage: Eukaryota; Metazoa; Arthropoda; Insecta; Phasmatodea; Heteropterygidae
Description: SSU rRNA
Rfam family: Eukaryotic small subunit ribosomal RNA
Source: RNAcentral
UCCAGGAAGGCAGCAGGCGCGCAAAUUACCCACUCCCGGCACGGGGAGGUAGUGACGAAAAAUAACGAUACGGGACUCAUCCGAGGCCCCGUAAUCGGAAUGAGUACACUUUAAAACCUUUAACGAGUAUCCAUUGGAGGGCAAGUCUGGUGCCAGCAGCCGCGGUAAUUCCAGCUCCAAUAGCGUAUAUUAAAGUUGUUGCGGUUAAAAAGCUCGUAGUUGGAUUUGUGUCCCACGCUGUCGGUUCACCGUUCGUCGGUGUUUAACUGGCAUGCCUGUGCGGACGUCCUGCCGGUGGAUGCGGUCGGCCGUGGGCCUCUGGUCUGCGCGUCGGCGGUCCGAUUCAAUCCUACCGCGGUGCUCUUCACCGAGUGUCGAGGUGGGCCGGCACGUUUACUUUGAACAAAUUAGAGUGCUCAAAGCAGGCAGUGGUUCGCCUGAAUAUUGUGUGCAUGGAAUAAUGGAAUAGGACCUCGGUUCUAUUUUGUUGGUUUUCGGAACUUGAGGUAAUGAUUAAUAGGGACAGACGGGGGCAUUCGUAUUGCGACGUUAGAGGUGAAAUUCUUGGAUCGUCGCANGACGAACCUAAGCGAAAGCAUUUGCCACGAGUGUUUUCAUUAAUCAAGAACGAAAGUUAGAGGUUCGAAGGCGAUCAGAUACCGCCCUAGUUCUAACCAUAAACGAUGCCAGCUAGCGAUCCGCCGAAGUUCCUCCGAUGACUCGGCGGGCAGCUUCCGGGAAACCAAAGCUUUUGGGUUCCGGGGGAAGUAUGGUUGCAAAGCUGAAACUUAAAGGAAUUGACGGAAGGGCACCACCAGGAGUGGAGCCUGCGGCUUAAUUUGACUCAACACGGGAAACCUCACCAGGCCCGGACACCGGAAGGAUUGACAGAUUGAGAGCUCUUUCUUGAUUCGGUGGGUGGUGGUGCAUGGCCGUUCUUAGUUGGUGGAGCGAUUUGUCUGGU